Long non-coding RNA from Oncorhynchus tshawytscha (Chinook salmon), 577 nucleotides. RefSeq lists it as uncharacterized. Lineage: Eukaryota; Metazoa; Chordata; Actinopteri; Salmoniformes; Salmonidae. The record is from RefSeq and is a predicted model, not a curated record. The transcript is spliced from 3 exons.
UGCUGUUAGUCCAGGUAACUCUACACAUCAUGACUCUGCUGUUAGUCCAGGUAACUCUACACAUCAUGACUCUGCUGUUAGUCCAGGUAACUCUACACAUCAUGACUCUGCUGUUAGUCCAGGACUCUACACAUCAUGACUCUGCUGUUAGUCCAGGUAACUCUACACAUCAUGACUCUGCUGUUAGUCCAGGUAACUCUACACAUCAUGACUCUGCUGUUAGUCCAGGUAACUACACAUCAUGACUCUGCUGUUAGUCCAGGUAACUCUACACAUCAUGACUCUGCUGUUAGUCCAGGUAACUCUACACAUCAUGACUCUGCUGUUAGUCCAGGUAACUCUACACAUCAUGACUCUGCUGUUAGUCCAGGUAACUCUACACAUCAUGACUCUGCUGUUAGUCCAGGUAACUCUACACAUCAUGACUCUGCUGUUAGUCCAAGUAACUCUACACAUCAUGACUCUGCUGUUAGUCCAGGUAACUCUACACAUCAUGACUCUGCUGUUAGUCCAGGUAACUCUACACAUCAUGACUCUGCUGUUAGUCCAGGUAACUCUACACAUCAUGACUCUGCUG